This 470-nucleotide ribosomal RNA is filed under the name uncultured bacterium. RNAcentral's name for it is "partial 16S ribosomal RNA". It matches the Rfam family "Bacterial small subunit ribosomal RNA", at positions 28 to 507 of the family's 1533-position model. The record is from RNAcentral.
GACGAACGCUGGCGGCGUGCUUAACACAUGCAAGUCGAACGCUGAAGCACCAGCUUGCUGGUGUGGAUGAGUGGCGAACGGGUGAGUAAUACGUGAGUAACCUGCCCUUGACUCUGGGAUAAGCCCGGGAAACUGGGUCUAAUACUGGAUGCUACAUGUCACCGCAUGGUGGUGUGUGGAAAGGGUUUACUGGUCUUGGAUGGGCUCACGGCCUAUCAGCUUGUUGGCGAGGUAAUGGCUCACCAAGGCGACGACGGGUAGCCGGCCUGAGAGGGUGACCGGCCACACUGGGACUGAGACACGGCCCAGACGCCUACGGGAGGAAGCAGUGGGGAAUAUUGCACAAUGGGCGAAAGCCUGAUGCAGCGACGCCGCGUGAGGGAUGACGGCCUUCGGGUUGAAAACCUCUUUCAGCAGGGAAGAAGCCACAAGUGACGGUACCUGCAGAAGAAGCGCCGGCUAACUACGUG